GACAUGACGAAAAGAACCAAAAAAUUAAAAAAAAAAAAAAGGAGAAAGGGAGAGGAUGUGUGUUGAUGCUUUGAGAAUUCAGAUUUUUUUUGUAUAUGUGGUUCACUU
This 108-nucleotide non-coding RNA is filed under the name Partenskyella glossopodia. The record is from RNAcentral. Lineage: Eukaryota; Cercozoa; Chlorarachniophyceae.